GGACUACUGGGGUAUCUAAUCCUGUUUGCUCCCCACGCUUUCGUGCCUCAGUGUCAGUGCUGGUCCAGAGAGCCGCCUUCGCAACUGAUGUUCCUCCCGAUCUCUACGCAUUUCACUGCUACACCGGGAAUUCCACUCUCCUCUACCGCACUCUAGCCCGCCAGUAUCCAUCGCCAUUCCCAGGUUGAGCCCGGGGCUUUCACGACAGACUUAACGAACCACCUACGCACGCUUUACGCCCAGUAAUUCCGAGUAACGCUUGCACCCUUCGUAUUACCGCGGCUGCUGGCAC
Molecule: ribosomal RNA, 292 nt
Filed under: uncultured bacterium
Lineage: Bacteria
Also listed under: 1 other name
Description: partial 16S ribosomal RNA
Source: RNAcentral